This 250-nucleotide ribosomal RNA is filed under the name uncultured bacterium. Its description in RNAcentral is "partial 16S ribosomal RNA". It matches the Rfam family "Bacterial small subunit ribosomal RNA", at positions 524 to 776 of the family's 1533-position model. The record is from RNAcentral.
UACGGAGGGUGCGAGCGUUGUCCGGAAUCACUGGGCGUAAAGGCGCGUAGGCGGCUGGGAAGUCUGUGGUGAAAGCUCGUGGCUCAACUACGAGUCGGCCAUAGAUACUCCUCAGCUCGAGCACUGUAGAGGCAGGUGGAAUUCCGGGUGUAGCGGUGGAAUGCGUAGAGAUCCGGAAGAACACCAGUGGCGAAGGCGGCCGCUGGGCAGCGGCUGACGCUGAGGCGCGACAGCGUGGGGAGCAAACAGG